This 1537-nucleotide long non-coding RNA is filed under the name Panicum hallii. RNAcentral's name for it is "long non-coding RNA (PHAL_LNC000371)". The record is from RNAcentral. Lineage: Eukaryota; Viridiplantae; Streptophyta; Magnoliopsida; Poales; Poaceae.
CUCGACCAAAUGCCACUUCCAUGGCAAAUUUCCUUGUGGUAUGUCGCUCACAUCUGGACACCCUCCCUCAGCAAACACAGAUGAAACAUUCAUAUAUCUGCAAUUUUUAUUUGAUUUUCACAGUGCUCACGGCCAACUGCCAAGCACGAUGUUUUGGUAUUUAGGGUGUAUUCAUAAUUUAGAACUUAGGCCAUUGCUCUCAUAGUGGAAGCUAUUUUGGAGUUCUAUAUAUUUAUCUCUGAAACUCAGCAUCUUAUCAUGCCAUGUACCUCUUACAUAGAGCACCUCUGUUUUGUCAAACAAAUUAUGGUAUAUAUCGAUCUCAAAAGUUUGAUUUACAUAACUGCGCACAUUUGAAAAUUAGUUUUAACUACAGUUUCACACAAUGCAAAUUAUAUCACUUUAUCAAGGAUCAAACCAUCUCGAAAUAUUUUAACAGUGAAAUGCUUCUUUGCUAGGAUUACUAGCAGGGGUAAAAAGGUCCAUAGUGUAGAUCUUUGCAAAUAGAUAUAAUGACAUAGAUUAUGAACGUUGAAUAACAUUUUGCACCUAUUAUACUAUAUUUGCCUUUAUUUACAUAUUUUUCAUAAGCGAAUGAGCAGAUACACUGAAGCAGUAUACUAAAGACAUACAAGAAAUUGAAGUGAAAAAGAUUCAUGCUGAGGAUAACACAAGCAAACUGAUAAAUGCAUUGUGCAAGACUAAAUAGAAAAUACAUCGAUCUGUUUGCCCUGAUGUUGCCUUACUUCUGUGUGCCUUUCUACUAAUCAUCUUCUCCACCUUAGUGACAUUUGGAUGGACAGUGUGAGUGGGAUUAGGAUGUCAUAUAGAUGAGAUAAAAUGCAGGCGAACCUAUGAAAGGUGUGCUGAAGAGAGCUGAUGAUAUUUUAACAUUUUCUGAGUUGCAUGGAAUUGAGCAAUCCAGGCAUCUGUGGGUAUUAUAAUUUCAGCUAAUCCCGUCCCCUCUUGAAGCAUGAUCGAGCAAAAGUGAAACUAAGCUCCCUCAAUGCUAUUUCAAUAGUGAAACUGUCAUUUCCUUGCAGGAGGCAGUCUGUGCAGCACCCUGAAAAUGUUCCUUUAAGCUUUUCCCCUCGUGUAUAUGCUGCUUCUUUCGUCAUGAUCGUUUUGCUCUAAUUUAUGAGAAUUUGCCAUUGCAAAUUUUAUGUCCCAUCCUAUGAUGUCCGUGAUGACAGAAACAAGGUACAACAAGCCCACUUACCAUCCUGCUUGUGUAAUGUGCAUUUUCAGGUGUUGCCAGCAGGAUAGUUCAAAUAUACCAUGAAGAAGCCACUUGCAUGGAUACAGAAGCUGCUGAGGAUAAUUUGAAAUAUAUUAACCAAGAGCUUCACACUAAUAUUUUUUGAGAUACAAUUCUGCCAGCAAGUCUUCACAGUUAAUUACAUUUUUUUUGUUUGUAUACUGCUAUACGAUAAAUAAAGUGAUGCAUGGAAAUUUGUUACGUUUGACCCAAAAGGUAUUUUGCGUCACUUGAUUAUAGUCAAUGACAGCUUAUGGUUACACCAGAAUUUUGCACUAA